This 819-nucleotide ribosomal RNA is filed under the name uncultured bacterium. Its description in RNAcentral is "bacterial SSU rRNA". It matches the Rfam family "Bacterial small subunit ribosomal RNA", at positions 353 to 1161 of the family's 1533-position model. The record is from RNAcentral.
AGUGAGGGAUUUUGCGCAAUGGGGGAAACCCUGACGCAGCAACGCCGCGUGAGUGAAGAAGGCCUUUGGGUCGUAAAGCUCUGUCGACAGGGAAGAAGUUGGGAUAUAUUAACAGUGUAUUUCAUUGACGGUACCUGUAGAGGAAGCAUCGGCUAACUCCGUGCCAGCAGCCGCGGUAAUACGGGGGAUGCAAGCGUUAUUCGGAAUCAUUGGGCGUAAAGGGCACGCAGGCGGUUCUGUCAGUCAGAUGUGAAAGCCCGGGGCUUAACCCCGGACGUGCAUUUGAAACAGCAGGACUUGAGUAUGGUAGAGGAAAGCGGAAUUCCUGGUGUAGAGGUGAAAUUCGUAGAUAUCAGGAGGAACACCGGUGGCGAAGGCGGCUUUCUGGACCAAAACUGACGCUGAGGUGCGAAGGCGUGGGUAGCGAACAGGAUUAGAUACCCUGGUAGUCCACGCAGUAAACGUUGUACACUAGGUGUAGCGGGUAUUGACCCCUGCUGUGCCGGAGCUAACGCAUUAAGUGUACCGCCUGGGGAGUACGGCCGCAAGGCUAAAACUCAAAGAAAUUGACGGGGGCCCGCACAAGCGGUGGAGCAUGUGGUUUAAUUCGACGCAACGCGAAGAACCUUACCCAGACUUGACAUCCUGUGAACCUCUUAGAAAUAAGAGGGUGCCUUCGGGAGCACAGAGACAGGUGCUGCAUGGCUGUCGUCAGCUCGUGUCGUGAGAUGUUCGGUUAAGUCCGGCAACGAGCGCAACCCUUGUCUUCAGUUGCCAGCACGUAAAGGUGGGGAACUCUGAAGAGACUGCCCCGGUUAA